UUAAGCGACUAAGCGUACACGGUGGAUGCCCUGGCAGUCAGAGGCGAUGAAGGACGUGCUAAUCUGCGAUAAGCGUCGGUAAGGUGAUAUGAACCGUUAUAACCGGCGAUUUCCGAAUGGGGAAACCCAGUGUGUUUCGACACACUAUCAUUAACUGAAUCCAUAGGUUAAUGAGGCGAACCGGGGGAACUGAAACAUCUAAGUACCCCGAGGAAAAGAAAUCAACCGAGAUUCCCCCAGUAGCGGCGAGCGAACGGGGAGGAGCCCAGAGCCUGAAUCAGUGUGUGUGUUAGUGGAAGCGUCUGGAAAGGCGCGCGAUACAGGUGACAGCCCGUACACAAAAUGCACAUACUGUGAGCUCGAUGAGUAGGGCGGGACACGUGGUAUCCUGUCUGAAUAUGGGGGGACCAUCCUCCAAGGCUAAAUACUCCUGACUGACCGAUAGUGAACCAGUACCGUGAGGGAAAGGCGAAAAGAACCCCGGCGAGGGAGGAAAAGAACCUGAAACCGUGUACGUACAAGCAGUGGGAGCCUCUUUAUGGGGUGACUGCGUACCUUUUAUAAUGGGUCAGCGACUUAUAUUCUGUAGCAAGGUUAACCGAAUAGGGGAGCCGAAGGAAACCGAGUCUUAACUGGGCGUUAAGUUGCAGGUAUAGACCCGAAACCCGGUGAUCAGCCAUGGGCAGGUUGAAGGUUGGGUAACACUAACUGGAGGACCGAACCGACUAAUGUUGAAAAUUAGCGGAUGACUUGUGGCUGGGGUGAAAGGCCAAUCAAACCGGGAGAUAGCUGGUUCUCCCGAAAGCUAUUUAGGUAGCGCCUCGUGAAUUCAUCUCCGGGGUAGAGCACUGUUUCGGCAAGGGGUCAUCCGACUUACCAACCCGAUGCAAACUGCGAAUACCGGAGAAUGUUAUCACGGGAGACACACGGCGGUGCUAACGUCCGUCGUGAAGACAACCCAGACCGCCAGCUAAGGUCCCAAAGUCAUGGUUAAGUGGGAAACGAUGUGGGAAGGCCCAGACAGCCGGAUGUUGGCUUAGAAGCAGCCAUCAUUUAAAGAAAGCGUAAUAGCUCACUGGUCGAGUCGGCCUGCGCGGAAGAUGUAACGGGCUAAACCAUGCACCGAAGCUGCGGCAGCGACGCUUAUGCGUUGUUGGGUAGGGAGCGUUCUGUAAGCCUGUGAAGGUGUACUGUGAGGUAUGCUGGAGGUAUCAGAAGUGCGAAUGCUGACAUAAGUAACGAUAAAGCGGGUGAAAAGCCCGCUCGCCGGAAGACCAAGGGUUCCUGUCCAACGUUAAUCGGGCAGGGUGAGUCGACCCUAAGGCGAGGCCGAAAGGCGUAGUCGAUGGGAAACAGGUUAAUAUUCCUGUACUUGGUGUUACUGCGAAGGGGGGACGGAGAAGGCUAUGUUGGCCGGGCGACGGUUGUCCCGGUUUAAGCGUGGCUGGUUUUCCGCAAAUCCGGAAAAUCAAGGCUGAGGCGUGAUGACGAGGCACUACGGUGCUGAAGCAACAAAUGCCCUGCUUCCGGAAAGCCUCUAAGCAUCAGGUAACAUCAAAUCGUACCCCAAACCGACACAGGUGGUCAGGUAGAGAAUACCAAGGCGCUUGAGAGAACUCGGGUGAAGGAACUAGGCAAAAUGGUGCCGUAACUUCGGGAGAAGGCACGCUGAUAUGUAGGUGAAGCGACUUGCUCGUGGAGCUGAAAUCAGUCGAAGAUACCAGCUGGCUGCAACUGUUUAUUAAAAACACAGCACUGUGCAAACACGAAAGUGGACGUAUACGGUGUGACGCCUGCCCGGUGCCGGAAGGUUAAUUGAUGGGGUUAGCGGUAACGCGAAGCUCUUGAUCGAAGCCCCGGUAAACGGCGGCCGUAACUAUAACGGUCCUAAGGUAGCGAAAUUCCUUGUCGGGUAAGUUCCGACCUGCACGAAUGGCGUAAUGAUGGCCAGGCUGUCUCCACCCGAGACUCAGUGAAAUUGAACUCGCUGUGAAGAUGCAGUGUACCCGCGGCAAGACGGAAAGACCCGUGAACCUUUACUAUAGCUUGACACUGAACAUUGAGCCUUGAUGUAGGAUAGGUGGGAGGCUUUGAAGUGUGGACGCCAGUCUGCAUGGAGCCGACCUGAAAUACCACCCUUUAAUGUUUGAUGUUCUAACGUUGGCCCCUGAUCGGGGUUGCGGACAGUGUCUGGUGGGUAGUUUGACUGGGGCGGUCUCCUCCUAAAGAGUAACGGAGGAGCACGAAGGUUGGCUAAUCCUGGUCGGACAUCAGGAGGUUAGUGCAAUGGCAUAAGCCAGCUUGACUGCGAGCGUGACGGCGCGAGCAGGUGCGAAAGCAGGUCAUAGUGAUCCGGUGGUUCUGAAUGGAAGGGCCAUCGCUCAACGGAUAAAAGGUACUCCGGGGAUAACAGGCUGAUACCGCCCAAGAGUUCAUAUCGACGGCGGUGUUUGGCACCUCGAUGUCGGCUCAUCACAUCCUGGGGCUGAAGUAGGUCCCAAGGGUAUGGCUGUUCGCCAUUUAAAGUGGUACGCGAGCUGGGUUUAGAACGUCGUGAGACAGUUCGGUCCCUAUCUGCCGUGGGCGCUGGAGAACUGAGGGGGGCUGCUCCUAGUACGAGAGGACCGGAGUGGACGCAUCACUGGUGUUCGGGUUGUCAUGCCAAUGGCACUGCCCGGUAGCUAAAUGCGGAAGAGAUAAGUGCUGAAAGCAUCUAAGCACGAAACUUGCCCCGAGAUGAGUUCUCCCUGAGACUUUAAGUCUCCUGAAGGAACGUUGAAGACGACGACGUUGAUAGGCCGGGUGUGUAAGCGCAGCGAUGCGUUGAGCUAACCGGUACUAAUGAACCGUGAGGCUUAACCU
Molecule: ribosomal RNA, 2862 nt
Filed under: Escherichia coli
Lineage: Bacteria; Pseudomonadati; Pseudomonadota; Gammaproteobacteria; Enterobacterales; Enterobacteriaceae
Description: bacterial LSU rRNA
Rfam family: Bacterial large subunit ribosomal RNA
Source: RNAcentral